CAGCUGUAAACGAUGCGCGUUAGGUGUAUCGGUGACCACGAGUCACCGAGGUGCCGAAGAGAAAUCGUGAAACGUGCCGCCUGGGAAGUACGGUCGCAAGGCUGAAACUUAAAGGAAUUGGCGGGGGAGCACCACAACAGGUGGAGCCUGCGGUUUAAUCGGACUCAACGCCGGGAAGCUCACCGGAUAAGACAGCUGAAUGAUAGCCGGGUUGAAGACUCUGCUUGACUAGCUGAGAGGUGGUGCAUGGCGUGUGACUGU
RNAcentral lists this ribosomal RNA (261 nucleotides) under uncultured archaeon. RNAcentral's name for it is "partial 16S ribosomal RNA". It matches the Rfam family "Archaeal small subunit ribosomal RNA", at positions 748 to 1008 of the family's 1478-position model. The record is from RNAcentral.